RNAcentral lists this long non-coding RNA (1111 nucleotides) under Ananas comosus (pineapple). Its description in RNAcentral is "long non-coding RNA (ACOM_LNC029628)". The record is from RNAcentral. Lineage: Eukaryota; Viridiplantae; Streptophyta; Magnoliopsida; Poales; Bromeliaceae.
AAUCAUGGAGGCAAUUGCUUAUAUAUUCCUAAAAAUUUUUCGAUACUAAGGACUUAUUUGGUUCAAGUGUGGAAUUGGAAUGAAUAAUAGAAUGAAAAUGAAUUGGAAUGACAAUUGAAUUGCCCUCACUCUUCCAAGAUGUUUGGUUUAUUUAUGGAUUGGAAAUCGGAAUGAAUUAUUCCUAUUUCACUAUUUUGCUUGAUACAAAGUAAAAAAUAAUAGAAUAACAUAAUACUAAUUUUACUUUUAAAUAUAAUUUUAUAAAACUAUCUAAAAUUUAUAAAAAAAAAUUAAUACUAUUCUCAAGUUAGAGCUAUGCCCAAAAAAAAAAAAAAUUUAUUUUAAAAUUUUUUAUGCAAGAAAUUACAAAAAAAAAAAGCCUUUUUUUUAAUGAUGAGAAAAGAAGGAAGAGAUCGAUACAAGAAGAGAAAAAAUGGAUAAGAUGGAGAAACGUUGGGCUGAGCAUGAGAAAGAGGUGAGUGUGGGCUUGGGAUUGAAACUUCAAUCUAGGUUUGGAGACCAGAAUCAAUUUGUAAGCUAAUGGACUAUUCCCAUUCCGAUCUGGAAUGGGAGUCCCAAACAGAUUCUUAUAAACCAAACAAAAUUAGCAGGAUUUGAUCAAACUGAUUCUCAUUCCGGAUUCAAAAUGUACGAACCAAACAUGCCCUAAUAUUAAAAAUACUCUUUUAACGUACCAAGUUAUUUCCAAUAUAUUCCUAAAAUUAAUUUGAAACAGUCGUUAUCUCUAUAAAAUUACUAUUUUUCACUUCUAAAUAUAUUCUUCUAACUUUACCAACUUUUCUUAUUUGUUCUUAUUAGUUAGGGAUAAAAGAAGUAAUUUGACUUUUAAUCUUUUCAAAUAUACUCUUCUAUCAUCACCAACUUUUUUUAUUUGUUUUUUAAGUUAGGGGCAGAAGAGGUAUUUUAAUUUGUUUUAACUCUACUAGAAAUUUAAUUUGUGUUUAAUCCGAGAUGACCUAACGGAAAUUAACAACGGAAUUAUUUUUGAAUAACGGAGAAAUAUAUCAGGAGUAUAUUUGAAAUAAAAAAAUGAUAGGAGCAUAUAAGAUAUUUCAAAAGUUUUAAGGAAUAUAUUAGAUAUUAUCCCAAA